Molecule: ribosomal RNA, 479 nt
Filed under: uncultured bacterium
Lineage: Bacteria
Description: bacterial SSU rRNA
Rfam family: Bacterial small subunit ribosomal RNA
Source: RNAcentral
AUGCAGUCGCACGAGAACGCUUCAGCUUGCUGAAGUUAGUAAAGUGGCGCACGGGUGAGUAACGCGUGGGUAAUCUACCCUCGAAUUGGGGAUAACAUCGCGAAAGUGAUGCUAAUACCGAAUGACAUUUUGAAAACAUAUGUUUUCAAGAUCAAAGGUGGCCUCUACAUGUAAGCUAUUGUUUGGGGAUGAGCCCGCGUACCAUUAGCUCGUUGGUAGGGUAAUGGCCUACCAAGGCUACGAUGGUUAGCUGGUCUGAGAGGAUGAUCAGCCACACUGGAACUGACACACGGUCCAGACUCCUACGGGAGGCAGCAGUGAGGAAUUUUGCGCAAUGGGGGAAACCCUGACGCAGCAACGCCGCGUGAGUGAUGAAGGCUUUCGGGUCGUAAAGCUCUGUCAAGUGGGAAGAAUCCAUAUGGUGUUAAUACCGCCAUAUGCUGACGGUACCACUGAAGGAAGCACGGGCUAACUCCGUG